RNAcentral lists this transfer RNA (60 nucleotides) under Methylococcaceae bacterium HT1. Its description in RNAcentral is "tRNA-Val". It matches the Rfam family "tRNA", at positions 7 to 59 of the family's 71-position model. From Rfam's summary of the family: Transfer RNA (tRNA) molecules are approximately 80 nucleotides in length. Their secondary structure includes four short double-helical elements and three loops (D, anti-codon, and T loops). Lineage: Bacteria; Pseudomonadati; Pseudomonadota; Gammaproteobacteria; Methylococcales; Methylococcaceae. The record is from RNAcentral.
GCGCGUAGCUCAGUUGGUUAGAGCACCACCUUGACAUGGUGGGGGUCGGUGAUUCGAAUU